GCGGUCGUGGCUCAGUGGAUAGAGCAAGAGUUUCCUAAACUCUAGGUCGGAGGUUCGAUUCCUCUCGACCGCGCCA
This 76-nucleotide transfer RNA is filed under the name Caryophanales bacterium. RNAcentral's name for it is "tRNA-Arg". It matches the Rfam family "tRNA". From Rfam's summary of the family: Transfer RNA (tRNA) molecules are approximately 80 nucleotides in length. Lineage: Bacteria; Bacillati; Bacillota; Bacilli; Caryophanales. The record is from RNAcentral.